This 1444-nucleotide ribosomal RNA is filed under the name uncultured organism. Its description in RNAcentral is "SSU rRNA". It matches the Rfam family "Bacterial small subunit ribosomal RNA". The record is from RNAcentral.
GCUACAGGCUUAACACAUGCAAGUCGAGGGGCAGCCUGGUCUUAGCUUGCUAAGGCCGAUGGCGACCGGCGCACGGGUGAGUAACACGUAUCCAACCUGCCGUCUACUCUUGGACAGCCUUCUGAAAGGAAGAUUAAUACAAGAUGGCAUCAUGAGUCCGCAUGUUCACAUGAUUAAAGGUAUUCCGGUAGACGAUGGGGAUGCGUUCCAUUAGAUAGUAGGCGGGGUAACGGCCCACCUAGUCUUCGAUGGAUAGGGGUUCUGAGAGGAAGGUCCCCCACAUUGGAACUGAGACACGGUCCAAACUCCUACGGGAGGCAGCAGUGAGGAAUAUUGGUCAAUGGGCGAGAGCCUGAACCAGCCAAGUAGCGUGAAGGAUGACUGCCCUAUGGGUUGUAAACUUCUUUUAUAAAGGAAUAAAGUCGGGUAUGGAUACCCGUUUGCAUGUACUUUAUGAAUAAGGAUCGGCUAACUCCGUGCCAGCAGCCGCGGUAAUACGGAGGAUCCGAGCGUUAUCCGGAUUUAUUGGGUUUAAAGGGAGCGUAGAUGGAUGUUUAAGUCAGUUGUGAAAGUUUGUGGCUCAACCGUAAAAUUGCAGUUGAUACUGGAUAUCUUGAGUGCAGUUGAGGCAGGCGGAAUUCGUGGUGUAGCGGUGAAAUGCUUAGAUAUCACGAAGAACUCCGAUUGCGAAGGCAGCCUGCUAAGCUGCAACUGACAUUGAGGCUCGAAAGUGUGGGUAUCAAACAGGAUUAGAUACCCUGGUAGUCCACACGGUAAACGAUGAAUACUCGCUGUUUGCGAUAUACUGCAAGCGGCCAAGCGAAAGCGUUAAGUAUUCCACCUGGGGAGUACGCCGGCAACGGUGAAACUCAAAGGAAUUGACGGGGGCCCGCACAAGCGGAGGAACAUGUGGUUUAAUUCGAUGAUACGCGAGGAACCUUACCCGGGCUUAAAUUGCAGAUGAAUUACGGUGAAAGCCGUAAGCCGCAAGGCAUCUGUGAAGGUGCUGCAUGGUUGUCGUCAGCUCGUGCCGUGAGGUGUCGGCUUAAGUGCCAUAACGAGCGCAACCCUUGUUGUCAGUUACUAACAGGUUCCGCUGAGGACUCUGACAAGACUGCCAUCGUAAGAUGUGAGGAAGGUGGGGAUGACGUCAAAUCAGCACGGCCCUUACGUCCGGGGCUACACACGUGUUACAAUGGGGGGUACAGAGGGCCGCUACCACGCGAGUGGAUGCCAAUCCCCAAAACCUCUCUCAGUUCGGACUGGAGUCUGCAACCCGACUCCACGAAGCUGGAUUCGCUAGUAAUCGCGCAUCAGCCACGGCGCGGUGAAUACGUUCCCGGGCCUUGUACACACCGCCCGUCAAGCCAUGGGAGCCGGGGGUACCUGAAGUGCGUAACCGCGAGGAGCGCCCUAGGGUAAAACUGGUGACUGGGGCUAAGUC